RNAcentral lists this ribosomal RNA (465 nucleotides) under Vreelandella stevensii. RNAcentral's name for it is "partial 16S ribosomal RNA". It matches the Rfam family "Bacterial small subunit ribosomal RNA", at positions 338 to 795 of the family's 1533-position model. The record is from RNAcentral. Lineage: Bacteria; Pseudomonadati; Pseudomonadota; Gammaproteobacteria; Oceanospirillales; Halomonadaceae.
CCUACGGGAGGCUGCAGUGGGGAAUAUUGGACAAUGGGGGCAACCCUGAUCCAGCCAUGCCGCGUGUGUGAAGAAGGCCCUCGGGUUGUAAAGCACUUUCAGUGAGGAAGAACGCCUGGUGGUUAAUACCCAUCAGGAAAGACAUCACUCACAGAAGAAGCACCGGCUAACUCCGUGCCAGCAGCCGCGGUAAUACGGAGGGUGCGAGCGUUAAUCGGAAUUAUUGGGCGUAAAGCGCGCGUAGGUGGCUUGAUAAGCCGGUUGUGAAAGCCCCGGGCUCAACCUGGGAACGGCAUCCGGAACUGUCAAGCUAGAGUGCAGGAGAGGAAGGUAGAAUUCCCGGUGUAGCGGUGAAAUGCGUAGAGAUCGGGAGGAAUACCAGUGGCGAAGGCGGCCUUCUGGACUGACACUGACACUGAGGUGCGAAAGCGUGGGUAGCAAACAGGAUUAGAUACCCCAGUAGUC